GAUGAAGAACGUAGCGAAAUGCGAUAAGUAAUGUGAAUUGCAGAAUUCAGUGAAUCAUCGAAUCUUUGAACGCACAUUGCGCCCCUUGGUAUUCCGAGGGGCAUGCCUGUUCGAGCGUCAUUAUAACCCCUCAAGCUCAGCUUGGUGUUGGGGCCUGCUGCACUGGCAGCCCUUAAAAUCAGUGGCGGCGCCAUCUGGCUCUAAGCGUAGUAAUUCUUCUCGCUAUGGAGUCCUGGUGGAUGCUUGCCAUCAACCCCCAAUUUUUCUAUGGUUGACCUCGGAUCAGGUAGGGAUACCCGCUGAACUUAAGCAUAUCAAUAAGCGGACGA
RNAcentral lists this unclassified non-coding RNA (329 nucleotides) under soil metagenome. Its description in RNAcentral is "partial contains 5.8S ribosomal RNA, internal transcribed spacer 2, and large subunit ribosomal RNA". The stretch from base 1 to 120 matches the Rfam family "5.8S ribosomal RNA", at positions 35 to 154 of the family's 154-position model. The record is from RNAcentral.